This 453-nucleotide ribosomal RNA is filed under the name Triticum aestivum (bread wheat). RNAcentral describes it as "partial small subunit ribosomal RNA". Lineage: Eukaryota; Viridiplantae; Streptophyta; Magnoliopsida; Poales; Poaceae. The record is from RNAcentral.
AUGAGCACCUUCAAGGAGUUUGAGGACGAAUUGAAACCGGAUAAUAAGUACCGGGUGGCUUUUAGCACAAAAGCGUUUCAAAUAUUGUCAAGCAACUAUCUCCAAGAAGCCGAAUGGUUUCAUCAGAAUCACAAGCCAAGAUUCAAUGAUCAAGUGAAGCGUGGGAAGAACAAAAAUGAUGUGGCCAGCUCCGUGGAAUGUUACAUCAGUGAGCAGGGCGUGGCGAGUGAGGUCGCCAUUGCCAAGAUAGGUUCUCUGAUCGAAGACGCAUGGAAGACUACGAACCAAGCACACUUUGAGCUCCCUGAGCUGCUGCUUCCGGCGGUGCAGCGAGUCGCAAAUAUAACGAUCAGCAUGCCGUUCAUGUAUGAUAACAAGACAGAUGCCUUUACGUUUAGCAGCCGUCUUGAGGGGACGAUUAAGCGACUGUUUGUCAAUCCUAUCAAGCUCUAG